GUGGCAAUAGUAGGGAAUAACUUGUUAUUAGUAUUUGCUGACUAUUUUUAGCCUGAUGCUGAAGGCCUGAGGUUGCUUUAGAGGACCUGUCAUGGUAAUAUGUGUCCUUGAAGGAGAACUUUCCUAUGGCCUCACACUGCCCUGUGGAAGCUGGCAGGAGCCUGGCUGAGUCCCACUGGGAGAAAGCUGAGGAACAGCAAGGAAAAGCCUCCUGAAGGAUGGGUAAAGUGAAGCUCAUUCAGGGAAAUCCUCACUCCCAGGGAGAGCCAAGAGUUUCCUGAAGAAGAGGGAAUUCAGGACCCUGGAGUGGCUGAAGACAGGUCAGUGGGGGUAGGAAUGCUGUUCCUACAGCUGCACUGAAACCCUGCACAAUCCUGUGGGUGUAAAUUAGGGAAACAGCCUGAAAAAGCAGGUUUUCCUGAGCCACAGGGCUAUAAUUUGCUUUAUGUGAGAUGUUUUCACAUUUUCCUUGAAUUUUAUGUCCAAACAAACCUCAUUACAGGAGCAGGGAUGUACCAGUAACUGUAGACAACCUGACCUACCCUGAAGCUAUGAGUGUUCAGACUGAAAGAUGUUUUGGGUUUGUUGGUUUUGUUUUUUUUUUUGAGAGGAAGGGCCCUGAACUCCUGCCAUAUCCAAGGAUGAGAGCAGAGGUGGCAGGAGAGGGCAGUGGGAGAUGCUGUGGAGCAGGAGGUGCCCGGGGCAGGCAGGCUGAGAGGAGCAGCCGAACCCACAGCUUCCUAAAACAUCUCCUAAAGCCUCCUGGCUUCCCUCCCAAUGCUGGGAACAUUUGGAAGGGGGAGCAGAGCCUGGUUGGUUUCAGUUCUGCUUGACUCUGCUUCGUGGGAAUGUGAAGGCUUCGGAUGACGCACCGUUCUCAGGAGAUGGUGCAGGAGAGGGUGGAUGGAUGGAAUUUAUGGGGAAAAUCCAGUGAAAACUGU
Chiroxiphia lanceolata (lance-tailed manakin) is the source of this 941-nucleotide long non-coding RNA. RefSeq lists it as uncharacterized. The record is from RefSeq and is a predicted model, not a curated record. NCBI's taxonomy places the organism in Eukaryota, Metazoa, Chordata, Aves, Passeriformes, Pipridae. The transcript has 3 exons.